UUUAAUAUGGCAGAUUAGUGCAAUGGACUUAAGCCCCAUAUAUAAAGAAAAUCUAUCUUUUAUUAAAA
This 68-nucleotide transfer RNA is filed under the name Cerapachys sulcinodis. RNAcentral's name for it is "tRNA-Leu". Lineage: Eukaryota; Metazoa; Arthropoda; Insecta; Hymenoptera; Formicidae. The record is from RNAcentral.